UAUCCAAUGCUUAAAAUUAAAUUAGCUGCAAUGGAAGCCAAAUGUUAUAAAUUCUGAAAUUGUUGAAUGACUUUGACAUGUCUCUGCCUCACUAUUAAUUUGUGUUUUUAUUUUCUCUACAGGUUAAAACUUGUGAGACCAGAGCAUAUAUCAUAGAGGGCAAAGUGCUGUUGAUGCCAAAGCGAUUUCUACCUUUACAAUAAGAUGGCAGAAUCCCAGAAACUUUUACUGAGAGUUUACAUUGCUCCUGACAUCGCCCACAAGAUGACCCUUUCUACACGCCCAAGUACAGUAGAAGAGUUGAUUACAGUGAUUAAAGAGAAAUUCAGACCUCGUCUUGAUUUUGAUUUCAACCUCCAAUAUGAAGACCCAGACUUUGGGGGGCAACUCUGCUUUCUAACAGACAUUUCAGAACUGCCAGAGAAGGCUGUAUUGAAAGUACACAGAUCUGAGACUGAUGCUGGGUCAGCUGCAACUUCACACACAGAAAUACUCCCUUAUGCCCCAGGACGCUUGCAGAGUUGGCCUGAUGUCUUCCCAGUUCCUCAAUUUUCUUAUGAUGUCGAGCACAGCCUCAAUGGUGGAAAUAUGGCCUAUCAAAACAGUGGAAAGUUCUUAAAAUUAACUAA
Long non-coding RNA from Carassius carassius (crucian carp), 629 nucleotides. RefSeq lists it as uncharacterized. The record is from RefSeq and is a predicted model, not a curated record. The transcript has 3 exons. Lineage: Eukaryota; Metazoa; Chordata; Actinopteri; Cypriniformes; Cyprinidae.